This 654-nucleotide ribosomal RNA is filed under the name uncultured Enterobacterales bacterium. Its description in RNAcentral is "bacterial SSU rRNA". It matches the Rfam family "Bacterial small subunit ribosomal RNA", at positions 74 to 721 of the family's 1533-position model. The record is from RNAcentral. Lineage: Bacteria; Pseudomonadati; Pseudomonadota; Gammaproteobacteria; Enterobacterales.
AACAGCUUGCUGUUUCGCUGACGAGUGGCGGACGGGUGAGUAAUGUCUGGGAAACUGCCUGAUGGAGGGGGAUAACUACUGGAAACGGUAGCUAAUACCGCAUAACGUCGCAAGACCAAAGAGGGGGACCUUCGGGCCUCUUGCCAUCGGAUGUGCCCAGAUGGGAUUAGCUAGUAGGUGGGGUAACGGCUCACCUAGGCGACGAUCCCUAGCUGGUCUGAGAGGAUGACCAGCCACACUGGAACUGAGACACGGUCCAGACUCCUACGGGAGGCAGCAGUGGGGAAUAUUGCACAAUGGGCGCAAGCCUGAUGCAGCCAUGCCGCGUGUAUGAAGAAGGCCUUCGGGUUGUAAAGUACUUUCAGCGGGGAGGAAGGGAGUAAAGUUAAUACCUUUGCUCAUUGACGUUACCCGCAGAAGAAGCACCGGCUAACUCCGUGCCAGCAGCCGCGGUAAUACGGAGGGUGCAAGCGUUAAUCGGAAUUACUGGGCGUAAAGCGCACGCAGGCGGUUUGUUAAGUCAGAUGUGAAAUCCCCGGGCUCAACAUGGGAACUGCAUCUGAUACUGGCAAGCUUGAGUCUCGUAGAGGGGGGUAGAAUUCCAGGUGUAGCGGUGAAAUGCGUAGAGAUCUGGAGGAAUACCGGUGGCGAAGG